AACGAACGCUGGCGGCAUGCCUAACACAUGCAAGUCGAACGAUCCCUUCGGGGAUAGUGGCGCACGGGUGCGUAACGCGUGGGAAUCUGCCCUUGGGUUCGGAAUAACAGUUAGAAAUGACUGCUAAUACCGGAUGAAGUCUUCGGACCAAAGAUUUAUCGCCCAGGGAUGAGCCCGCGUAGGAUUAGGUAGUUGGUGAGGUAAAGGCUCACCAAGCCGACGAUCCUUAGCUGGUCUGAGAGGAUGAUCAGCCACACUGGGACUGAGACACGGCCCAGACUCCUACGGGAGGCAGCAGUGGGGAAUAUUGGACAAUGGGCGCAAGCCUGAUCCAGCAAUGCCGCGUGAGUGAUGAAGGCCUUCGGGUCGUAAAGCUCUUUUACCCGGGAUGAUAAUGACAGUACCGGGAGAAUAAGCUCCGGCUAACUCCGUGCCAGCCGCCGCCGUAA
This 449-nucleotide ribosomal RNA is filed under the name uncultured bacterium. Its description in RNAcentral is "partial 16S ribosomal RNA". It matches the Rfam family "Bacterial small subunit ribosomal RNA", at positions 29 to 523 of the family's 1533-position model. The record is from RNAcentral.